Molecule: long non-coding RNA, 1267 nt
Organism: Hyaena hyaena (striped hyena)
Lineage: Eukaryota; Metazoa; Chordata; Mammalia; Carnivora; Hyaenidae
Exons: 2
Source: RefSeq, a predicted model, not a curated record
AGAAACUGCCUUUCUACCAUGCCAAGUCAUGCAUGGACCACAGGAUUGGGGGGCCACUUAUUUAACCAAGUUAUCACCAGGUAAUGAUAUCAAAGGGUGAUCAAGUGACUGUAUCAUCUUCUGGACACAUCACUGACCACGCCGCUCUUGAGAUCGGAAAGACUGAGCACCUCCUCCAACUACGGGUCCCAAAUCUGGAGAAGCAUCAGCAAACAAAUAGAACAAAUGUAGCAGGAUCAGAUAGUGUCAUCUGGCAGGGCAAAGCAAAAGAAGGCUCCCGAUGUUGGGAAUAAGCUUCAGCUGACAAGAUGUCAUGUUGAUAGACAGGAGAGGAUUAGACAUGACUAAACGUGGAUCCAAAGACCAACCAAAGGAAGGUUUGCUUCCUUGAUUCCACAAAUGGCAAAAACCAUCGAACUCACAGAAAUGCGUACUUUGUGUUACCUCAAUGACAUCACCCAUGCUCUCUGUGCUAAGCGCCCCUUCCAAGAACCUGGGGACACACCUGUCCAGUCACAGAUGGGGUGGGUUGUGGGGUGUGUGAAGCUGCGUGGUGUCAUGCUUCCCGGAGGGCUAGCUCAGUGGCUGGAGCUCUCCUAGAAACUUUGCUCAGUCUCUUGCUCCUUGGCUUGUCAUUUGCUGUGUUAAAAUGCACAGAUAGAAAAAUAAGAAAAGGAAGACCACCAUAAUGUCAGACGAGGGGCCCCUUCUUCAAAGAGUGGAAACUGUCUGAUCAGCUGUCACCUGUUGCCAGGAUGCAUCUCUCCUUCUAAAACGGAAGGAUGUGUGGUGGCUCAUUCUCAUCAAGGGAUGGGAAGACUUGCAUGGUGUUUCUCUUUGCUGGGGCUGUGUAACAAAGCACCACAGACUGUGUGCCUUAAACAACAUUAUCUUCUGACAGUUCUGGAAUCUGGAAAUCCAAGAUCAAGGUGUCGACGAAACACUUUGCCAGGAAGUCUUUGGCGGAGGCAGCCCUGUAACUCAGAAAUUCCAGACUCCUCAAGCCUCAGUGACACAGAUGUGAGCGGUUCCCGGUGCCGACCCGCGCUUCCUGACUGCACGUAGCAACGCGACGCACCUAAGAAGGGCCUGGGCUCCUUCCUGUGAUAGAAAAGGGAGGUUACCUCUGUGUGGGUAGGGACUUGGCUGGAACAACAGGAGACGGUCCCCUAUGUCCUGAAAAAUGCAGAGAUUUUUUAAUGGAGCAGAAAAGUUAUAGUUACAUCACUGGGGUUUGCCCAUCAUUAAAUACAUUUGGUUUAUUUUA